Molecule: ribosomal RNA, 253 nt
Filed under: uncultured bacterium
Lineage: Bacteria
Description: partial 16S ribosomal RNA
Rfam family: Bacterial small subunit ribosomal RNA
Source: RNAcentral
UACGGGGGGGGCAAGCGUUGUUCGGAAUUACUGGGCGUAAAGGGCUCGUAGGCGGCCAACUAAGUCAGACGUGAAAUCCCUCGGCUUAACCGGGGAACGGCGUCUGAUACUGGAUGGCUUGAGUUCGGGAGAGGGAUGCGGAAUUCCAGGUGUAGCGGUGAAAUGCGUAGAUAUCGGAAGGAACGCCGGUGGCGAAAGCGACGUGCUGGACACCUUCUGACGCUGAAGAACGAAAGCUAGGGGAGCAAACAGG